GCCAGGAUUCUUUCUGUGUCAGAAACUGAG
Molecule: non-coding RNA, 30 nt
Filed under: Rattus norvegicus (Norway rat)
Lineage: Eukaryota; Metazoa; Chordata; Mammalia; Rodentia; Muridae
Source: RNAcentral